RNAcentral lists this ribosomal RNA (895 nucleotides) under Streptococcus sp. Its description in RNAcentral is "bacterial SSU rRNA". It matches the Rfam family "Bacterial small subunit ribosomal RNA", at positions 26 to 903 of the family's 1533-position model. The record is from RNAcentral. Lineage: Bacteria; Bacillati; Bacillota; Bacilli; Lactobacillales; Streptococcaceae.
AGGACGAACGCUGGCGGCGUGCCUAAUACAUGCAAGUAGAACGCUGAAGUCCGGUACUUGUACCGGAUGGAUGAGUUGCGAACGGGUGAGUAACGCGUAGGUAACCUGCCUGGUAGCGGGGGAUAACUAUUGGAAACGAUAGCUAAUACCGCAUAACAGUAGCUAACACAUGUUAGCUGUUUGAAAGGGGCAACUGCUCCACUACCAGAUGGACCUGCGUUGUAUUAGCUAGUUGGUAAGGUAACGGCUUACCAAGGCGACGAUACAUAGCCGACCUGAGAGGGUGAUCGGCCACACUGGGACUGAGACACGGCCCAGACUCCUACGGGAGGCAGCAGUAGGGAAUCUUCGGCAAUGGGGGGAACCCUGACCGAGCAACGCCGCGUGAGUGAAGAAGGUUUUCGGAUCGUAAAGCUCUGUUGUAAGAGAAGAACGUUGGUGAGAGUGGAAAGUUCACCAAGUGACGGUAACUUACCAGAAAGGGACGGCUAACUACGUGCCAGCAGCCGCGGUAAUACGUAGGUCCCGAGCGUUGUCCGGAUUUAUUGGGCGUAAAGCGAGCGCAGGCGGUUUCAUAAGUCUGAAGUAAAAGGCAGUGGCUCAACCAUUGUACGCUUUGGAAACUGUGAGACUUGAGUGCAGAAGGGGAGAGUGGAAUUCCAUGUGUAGCGGUGAAAUGCGUAGAUAUAUGGAGGAACACCGGUGGCGAAAGCGGCUCUCUGGUCUGUAACUGACGCUGAGGCUCGAAAGCGUGGGGAGCAAACAGGAUUAGAUACCCUGGUAGUCCACGCCGUAAACGAUGAGUGCUAGGUGUUAGGCCCUUUCCGGGGCUUAGUGCCGCAGCUAACGCAUUAAGCACUCCGCCUGGGGAGUACGACCGCAAGGUUGAAACUCA